GAUGAAGAACGUAGCGAAAUGCGAUAAGUAAUGUGAAUUGCAGAAUUCAGUGAAUCAUCGAAUCUUUGAACGCACAUUGCGCCCGCCAGCAUUCUGGCGGGCAUGCCUGUUCGAGCGUCAUUUCAACCCUCGAGCCCCCCCGGGGGCCUCGGUGUUGGGGGACGGCACACCAGCCGCCCCCGAAAUGCAGUGGCGACCCCGCCGCAGCCUCCCCUGCGUAGUAGCACACACCUCGCACCGGAGCGCGGAGGCGGUCACGCCGUAAAACGCCCAACUUUCUUAGAGUUGACCUCGGAUCAGGUAGGAAUACCCGCUGAACUUAAGCAUAUCCAAUAAGCGGAGGA
This 344-nucleotide unclassified non-coding RNA is filed under the name soil metagenome. RNAcentral describes it as "partial contains 5.8S ribosomal RNA, internal transcribed spacer 2, and large subunit ribosomal RNA". The stretch from base 1 to 120 matches the Rfam family "5.8S ribosomal RNA", at positions 35 to 154 of the family's 154-position model. The record is from RNAcentral.